GAUGAACGCUGGCGGCGUGCUUAACACAUGCAAGUCGAACGGAAAGGCCCAAGCUUGCUUGGGUACUCGAGUGGCGAACGGGUGAGUAACACGUGGGUGAUCUGCCCUGCACUUCGGGAUAAGCCUGGGAAACUGGGUCUAAUACCGGAUAGGACCACAUUUUGGAUGGUGUGGUGGAAAGUUUUUCGGUGUGGGAUGAGCUCGCGGCCUAUCAGCUUGUUGGUGGGGUAAUGGCCUACCAAGGCGUCGACGGGUAGCCGGCCUGAGAGGGUGUACGGCCACAUUGGGACGGAGAUACGGCCCAGACUCCUACGGGAGGCAGCAGUGGGGAAUAUUGCACAAUGGGCGCAAGCCUGAUGCAGCGACGCCGCGUGGGGGAUGACGGCCUUCGGGUUGUAAACUCCUUUCGCUAGGGACGAAGCGUUUUUGUGACGGUACCUGGAGAAGAAGCACCGGCUAACUACGUG
RNAcentral lists this ribosomal RNA (467 nucleotides) under uncultured bacterium. RNAcentral describes it as "partial 16S ribosomal RNA". It matches the Rfam family "Bacterial small subunit ribosomal RNA", at positions 28 to 507 of the family's 1533-position model. The record is from RNAcentral.